This is a long non-coding RNA of Podarcis raffonei (Aeolian wall lizard), 460 nucleotides long. RefSeq lists it as uncharacterized. The transcript has 3 exons. The record is from RefSeq and is a predicted model, not a curated record. NCBI's taxonomy places the organism in Eukaryota, Metazoa, Chordata, Lepidosauria, Squamata, Lacertidae.
ACAUGUGCAGAAAUGUGACCCAUCGUAACUUACUGUUUAGAAAUUACCAAAGAUCUGAGAUGGAUGCCAACAGCAGCAAUCUGAGCUCAAGUUAUAACCUUAAGCAAAGCAAUGAGAAACUCUUGAGAGGAAAGAAUGAAGAACCCAGUGGAUUAUGUACCUAUCAGACCUUUGUUACAAAUAUACAUUCCCAGGAAAUGAGUUCGCCAUACAGCAGCAUUCAAGCUAUCAAAACAUCAACAGAAGAGAGAGUGAAUGAAAUAUUCAAUGGCUUUCCUCAAUAAGAAAGAUAUUGAUUGCUGCCGACUCUUGACUGAGGUAUUAAUUGGCAUGAUUUCUUCACCACAAGAUGCCAGGGAGGAUUACAACAACAUAAUACACAGUUAUAAAAACCGAUAAAACCAUUACAAUUAUGAAACAAGAAAAUUCAUUUCACUUGGAGCAGGACAGUAUUCAGCAA